CGCGGCGUGCGCGGCCGCGGUGGCAUCGAUGCGUUCCUGCCAGGUGCGCAGGGUGUCCGCGUGUUCUUGGGCCGCUCGCGUCGACUCGUCGCGA
Molecule: transfer RNA, 94 nt
Filed under: Rhodococcus sp. YH1
Lineage: Bacteria; Bacillati; Actinomycetota; Actinomycetes; Mycobacteriales; Nocardiaceae
Description: tRNA-Gly
Source: RNAcentral